AGAGUUUGAUCCUGGCUCAGAAUGAACGUUGGCGGCGUGGAUUAGGCAUGCAAGUCGUACGCACAGCUUCGGCUGUGAGUGGCGCAAGGGUGAGUAAUGCGAAGGUAACCAACCCUGGUGUUGGGCAUAACCGCGGGAAACUGCGGGUAAUUCCCAGCGACGUCGCGAGAUGGCAUCAUCUUGCGACCAAAGGUGUGAUUCCGCUCUAGGACGGGCCUUCGUGGUAUUAGGUAGUUGGUGAGGUAAUGGCUCACCAAGCCGACGAUGCCUACCGGGUGUGAGAGCACGACCCGGCACACUGGAACUGAGACACUGUCCAGACACCUACGGGUGGCUGCAGUCGAGAAUCUUCGGCAAUGGGCGAAAGCCUGACCGAGCGACGCCGCGUGAGGGAAGAAGGCCUUCGGGUUGUAAACCUCUUUCGUAGAGGAGGAAGGGGCCGUGCAGAGCGGUCCUUGACCUAUCUAGGAAGAAGCUUGGCUAAGUCCGUGCCAGCAGCCGCGGUAAGAC
RNAcentral lists this ribosomal RNA (510 nucleotides) under uncultured bacterium. Its description in RNAcentral is "bacterial SSU rRNA". It matches the Rfam family "Bacterial small subunit ribosomal RNA", at positions 8 to 526 of the family's 1533-position model. The record is from RNAcentral.